Long non-coding RNA from Musa acuminata AAA Group (dessert banana), 2400 nucleotides. RefSeq lists it as uncharacterized. Lineage: Eukaryota; Viridiplantae; Streptophyta; Magnoliopsida; Zingiberales; Musaceae. The record is from RefSeq and is a predicted model, not a curated record. The transcript is spliced from 3 exons.
CAGGUCACCUCAAGGAAGCUUAGAUGGAAGACGCUCCACUGAUAGUGAACACUCAAAUGACAUCGUCUUUAGCAGAAGUGUCCACUUAAACAGGUUCGACAACCAAUAGCAGAAAAAUCUGUUUGAUAUCAUUGAAGUUGGCCAGAAUUCUAAAAUAUCACCUUAUGAUGAAGAAGAAACUGCACGACAUCUGAGCACUGAAGGAAAAUAUGAUGAGCCCAGUGGAAUGGUUGCAAGGUGAUGAAAAUGAAAUUGAAGGAGACAACAAAAUAUUAGAUCUCCAUGUAUCCAGCGAAACUGUCAGCGGUGAUAACAUAAAUCAUCUAGGCAAAGAACAAAAGCUUUGCUCACAAGUUGAGCAAACUGAAACUUGUAUGAGUGAUGUUGAGGAUGAAUUGAGGACCUCACAUAGUGACAACAGUGGAGCAAAAUCCUGAAGCAGUAAGGAUUUGUAGAAGCAGCAUGAAAAUAUUGGAGACACACAACAAGGAUAUUUGGGUCAAACAGAUGAUUUGCAAAGGCCUCAAAGAGAACACAAGUCUCAUCAAAUAGAUGGUGAUGGUUGGGAUGCUAGAGAAGACAUAAACAGAAAACAGUUGGCUUACAGAGGUCGGAAAGAUACUUGUCACUCGUACAGAAAUUAGGAUCCUCUUUCUGCACACCCUGUCGAGAUAGAAGUUCGGAGCAGACAAAGGAUACAGAAGCUUCUGUUGGUGUUUGGUAGAGAAGAGAGGCUAAUUUAUUUGCAGAGUCAAAGAGUUAAAGAUAAAGGCGCUAAGUGGGAGAGCAGUGAAGAAAUAAUGUAGAGGCACAAGAGUAAAUUAAGGGCCAGUGUCAGGAAUCUAAGAGAUGAUCUUCACUCAGGAAAAAAUGUGGGUGGUGAAGAAUGGAGAGGGCAUAAUAGAGAUGAAGCCUAGAGAGAGGGAUGAUCUUUUGACAGGUCAUCAUGAAAAUGUAGACUAUGCAUUCAUCAAGAGGAAAAAGGAUGAAGUGAGAGGGAAGACUGACAAGCAAGAUACCAUGCAUGCUUAUAGGGCUAGGGAAGACAAAAGAAAAGAGAAAGGGAUGAAGUCAAAAAUCAUAGAAGAGAAGAUAGUAAUAGUAUGAGGAAUAAAACUGAUGCUGCUAAGCACAAAGACUAUAGAUGCCAACUCAGGAGAGGGAGGACAGGAAGCUGACUUAAGCAACCUCAUAAAAGUGUACCAAAGCACCACAAAAGAGAAGAGGGUCAGCGUGCAUUGAAGAAUGAACAAGUUUUAGAUGAUACACCAUUGAGUAGGAACCAGAUAGAAGACUGCAGAAUGAGCAGUCUCGGGGAUGAGAUUGUCCAAGAAAUGAAAAAUGUCUUAUGACAUGAGGGACGUGGAGAUCAGUUGGCACCUGAAAAGCCAUUUAGGUGCUUCUACUGGAUAAGGCACACAGAAAACACAAAGAAGGUUCAAGGUACCAAAGUUUAUGAACACAACAGUUAUGGAGUUGGCAAGAGAAAACCUUAAAACCACAGUGCUCACAGGAACAUGAAGGUGAGCAUGAUGGGCUCAGAUGAGCAAGAAAGCAGCAAUGUGAAGAAUGGUCAUCAACCAAUUCAUGAACAACUAGAGGCUCCUCAACUGCACCUCACUUUGGAACAUGGAGAAAAAGAUCCAGAGCAUCAGGUGUGAGUCUCAACAUAGUUCUAGCCUCUAGGAGAGGGCGAUCCUAAUUAGAGCUUUCGACCUGCCACAAGUAGUGGGGUUUUUGUUCCACUGAAAACAUGUGUGUAUCAUCUGCAUCUUGAAGGCCUAAGGAGAUCAAGACCCUAAUGUAGAUGUUGUCCAGGCAGAUGAAUCAGCUAAAAGCGAAGGUAACUAGAAUGCUGCUGCUUUAGAUGACAAAGAUGCUGAUACAACACUGGUGGAUAAGAGGGUCGAGGAUAGGAAUCUCCACCCUGACAAUGUGGCGAAGCAAAUGUUUCAAACUUCCUAUGCCAGGGGAAAGAGAGAUGAAUCUGAGCAGAGAUUUAGAGACCGAAGUCCAGACAUUGCAUUUCUGAUACCGCCAUUGAUACAGAAGUAAAGCCAGAGGGACCUGCUAAAAAAUGCAGUGGGCUGGCAGUCGAGCUGUUCAAGGAGGAGCUGUAUGGAAUCUCAUGGUUUAUUGCAUGGUUCAUGCCAACAGUCUUUCAAGGAGGCAGGUGGAAGACUUGGGGCUUCUGAAACACCUCCCAACCUUCCUGAAUUCUGUUUAUUACAGGCUUCGACCAACGACUGAUCUGGCAUUUGAAGAAGCAUUUGAGCUUCUCAGAGGGAAGCUUCAAGCUGUCAUGGAAUCUAUUACCUGCUUUGAUUUCCUGGUUCUGUAAGCCUCGCUGAAAGCCCAACAACGAACAUUCUUGACAUGUUUAUAGAAGAAACUACAUGU